GGAUUUGGGGUCUCUGGCUCACCACUCAGGAGGCCGCAGGAGACAGGAGUGACAUGCGGUGGCCCCACCUGGCACCACAGGGCAUUUGGAAGUGAGCAGGAGUGAGGAACAGAUGGGGAGGGGCGGUGUCGGCAGGGCUACCUGUGACCAGACCUGUCAGCACACUUGGGGCUAACAUCCACCCUCCCACACAAGAGGCACCAGGUCACACCAGCCACGGAUGUAAGCCAACAGAGCCCCAUGUCAGCCCCAACAAGAAGUUCUGGUUUCCUGUGAAACCCCCAUCUUCUCAAGCUUUGAGUUUUUAGAUGUCUUUAAAAUGCAAGCAAUAAAUGGUGCGUAUAAACAUG
Molecule: long non-coding RNA, 350 nt
Filed under: Homo sapiens (human)
Lineage: Eukaryota; Metazoa; Chordata; Mammalia; Primates; Hominidae
Description: HSALNT0050846
Source: RNAcentral